UAAUUUGAACACCUUACCCCCUAUUUGUCUUUCUACUAUGUUAUCCUCUGGUCGGGGUCGCUCGUUCUGUACAUUCUUUGCAAGAGACCCGUUCGUGGGGUCUUCUCCCAUAGGCGUCGGCCCUGCGGAUGCAUCGGUCAUCGCCUCCUCUGGUCCUCCUUCUGUGGGCGAGGCCUCUCCGUGUACUCCUUCUACCGGCGAGGCAUCGCCGUCACUCCCUUCCGUAUAUGCCUCUUCCAUAGGCGUCGG
This 249-nucleotide long non-coding RNA is filed under the name Phaseolus vulgaris (common bean). RNAcentral's name for it is "long non-coding RNA (PVUL_LNC005064)". The record is from RNAcentral. Lineage: Eukaryota; Viridiplantae; Streptophyta; Magnoliopsida; Fabales; Fabaceae.